AAUCUGGUCAUCUCGACCUUGGGAUACAUGGAUAUAAACAAAAAAUAUACUUCCAGUUUUGGAAAUAGUGCAUCUUGUAAUGCAUUAUCUAGACCGUCAAUAUUCAAAAUUUUCAAGUGUUAAUAGAUCUAUUUGAUUAACAAUAUUUUUUAAGAUCUAAAUUUUAUAAUUAGAGAUAAAAAUAAAUUUUCAAGCCAUCAUAAAGAUUUUUAAUGCUGAAAAUAGACACUAUUUGAAGGUGUGCCACACUUGACUGUUUAGAGACCCGUCAAUAGUUGAGGGGAUAAUAGUAACUCGCCAUUAAAACAAGAUGAAGAUAAUGGAUUAUUAUAAAUAGAGUAAUGUAAUCAUCCAUAUAUGGAUUUGAUGAGUAUAGUAAUCCCGUGAAAGAAGGUUGAUCUCCUCAAAGGGACUGGGACUGGGGUUGGGGUUGGGGUCGUGGUGCUAGCAUCCCCAUAUUUAGUUAGCAUUUUGUGGUUUUCAUUCCUACGAUUAAUACCACUUUACUAACACUUUAAAAAAUGUAACUUCUAACCUACAUAAAAAAAAACG
RNAcentral lists this long non-coding RNA (552 nucleotides) under Amborella trichopoda. RNAcentral's name for it is "long non-coding RNA (ATRI_LNC004292)". The record is from RNAcentral. Lineage: Eukaryota; Viridiplantae; Streptophyta; Magnoliopsida; Amborellales; Amborellaceae.